UACGUAGGGACCGAGCGUUGUCCGGAUUUAUUGGGCGUAAAGAGCGUGUAGGCGGCCUGGUAGGUCUGCUGUGAAAACUCGAGGCUCAACCUCGAGAUGUCGGCGGAAACCAUCUGGCUAGAGUCCGGAAGAGGAGAGUGGAAUUCCUGGUGUAGCGGUGAAAUGCGCAGAUAUCAGGAAGAACACCUAUGGCGAAGGCAGCUCUCUGGGACGGUACUGACGCUGAGACGCGAAAGCGUGGGGAGCAAACAGG
Molecule: ribosomal RNA, 253 nt
Filed under: uncultured bacterium
Lineage: Bacteria
Description: partial 16S ribosomal RNA
Rfam family: Bacterial small subunit ribosomal RNA
Source: RNAcentral